RNAcentral lists this unclassified non-coding RNA (298 nucleotides) under Hevea brasiliensis (rubber tree). The record is from RNAcentral. Lineage: Eukaryota; Viridiplantae; Streptophyta; Magnoliopsida; Malpighiales; Euphorbiaceae.
AUGCCAUUGUAAGGGGUGAAGAAAUGAUCUUUUCGGAGAUGGUGGCGAUAUCUUCCAGUGAGAUUUCAUCAAUUAUUUUCAGGAAGUGUUCAACAGGCUUCCUCUCUCCAUAUGUCAAAAUCUGCCGUCCAAUAUCCUCGGAUGCUACCAUUCUCGAUUCCAGGUUCAUAAGAAUAGCUGACUUGGAAGUCGCUUUAGCACGAUCUAGUUGUUUUUGGUGAACUUGUCCAGGCUCAGCAAGUAAAUGAAGUUCUCUUACUGCCAAAUCAACAGCUUCGCCAACAAAAUCUGAACCAGU